Anastrepha ludens (Mexican fruit fly) is the source of this 4887-nucleotide RNA transcript. It is a transcript of the gene named rab11 family-interacting protein 5, with no coding region annotated. Lineage: Eukaryota; Metazoa; Arthropoda; Insecta; Diptera; Tephritidae. The transcript is spliced from 7 exons. The record is from RefSeq and is a predicted model, not a curated record.
UGUCACUCGUUUUGUGCAUUUGAACCCGUUUGGAUAUUAUUGCGCUUGGUUGUCGCUUCGAGGCGAUAUUUGCAAUUUGUUUUUUUGUGAAAUAGUUGGCGUUGAAUGAGUAAUGUUUUCAAAAUUGUUUUUAUAUGUUAUAUGUUUUGAUUAAAAAAAAAACAAAAAGUUUAGAGCAUUACAGGACGGUCUUUUUCGGGACAAAAGCAAUUGUAAAACGCGAGUGCAGUGAAUUGUUAUGGUGUUUUUGGCAGAGCAAGUACCAAAGGAAAAGGUUCAAAUUGAAAAGAAUACCUAUAAAAUUAAAAGCAAAAAUUAUAAAUCACCCAAUUUAUUCAGAAGGAGCAACAUAUUAAUCGAGAAAUAUUAAUAGAAUAUACAAGUUUUUAAGUGACACAGGAGAACAUUUAAUUUUGUUUUCAACCUGAGUAGAAAACGGCGAGAGUAGAUAAUUGGAUUAAGCGAUAUAAUAGGGAGCUGAACAAUGUGGAGUCCAACGCACAUACAAGUCACUGUUCAACGUGCAAAAGGCCUGCUGACGAAAGGUAAAAAUGGUACCAACAAUUGCUUCGUCACAAUUUCACUGGGCAAAGAGAAAUACCAGACAUCAGUCAAGGACAAAGCGGAAGCGAAUGUUAGUUGGAAUGAGGAAUGUGAACUCAAAAUUCCCGAUCAAGGCAAUCGUGCCGAACUGGCUUUGACUUGUCUGCAUCGCAAUAAUCUCGGUAUAGAUGAGUUUCUCGGUCAGGCAACAUUGCCACUCAAUGAAAUGGACGUAUACGAUCGUCCACGCUCUAAAUGGUUCAAGCUGGAGAGUAAACCCGGGAAAGAGAAAAAGAAUAAAGAGCGUGGUGAAUUGGAGGUGCGGAUUUCCUUUGUUGUCAAAUCUGGCUCACUGACUGAUCUGAGCAAGAAAGAAAAGCACAAGUCUUCCAUCGGCCAGUUGGCUUCUUCCGUGGGUGGCAGUCUUCUCUCAAUUGGCACAAUAGAAAAGCGCAAAGGCAUUAAGAAGUUUGCCAAAUCGAUUGGCUCGAAAAUGCAUUUGAGCAGCAAGAAGAAGAACAAAGAUGGUGAUGAUGUAUCGAACUUCAGUGGCUCAUUCGCGAGCAUAGGCACUCCGAAUAGUUCGAAUGGUGGUAGUCAUCGUUAUGGGCAGCGCGCUGGUGAGGCCGAUCCCGGUGUGAUUAGUGAGGAUGAAGAUGAGUUCGUUUUUGACAAUUUGUCACACAAAAGCUCGGCGAGUUCGUUGAACAUACGUUCGAACCUACAGCCGCCUACACAAAAUUUUGCGCCUCGUAAUCCUUCACCGCUGCUGGGCAAAGUCGGAGGUAAGCCAUUGUCUAGAAGAGAUUUGGUGGAGGAGGAUCUCGCUGUAGAUCCCGAGUUAGAAGAGUUAGAAAACGACUUCAGCGUCCGUGCACGAACACUGCCGCCGCCCUCGAAACCACCUCGCACACAACAACAACUCAACGAUGUGAUAGCUGCGUCACCGAAGCAAAAGGAACCGGCUCUGGACGAAUGGGAAUCGAAGCUAUACAAACAACAUUUGCAGAUUGGAAGUUCAGAUUCGUUAAAACGACGCUCCUGGGAGCAAUCGCGCGUGCCGUUACCAACACCCAAUGAAGAGGCAGAAAAGGAAUUGCAAAUGAAAGUGGAAGAGAAAAACGUGGCCGAAAAUAAGCAAGAAAAUGGUAUUCAGAAACAGGAAAAUGGUUUCGCUGAUAGAAAUAUUUCGCAAAGAAACAGCGAGAGUGACUCUUCUUUAUCAUCUUCAGACUCAGACGAGGAGAAAAGUAUGCCUGAAUUAAACAAAACUGAAGUCAAAGGCGUUACUAACAAGCCACAAGAACUUAUUCUCACCCCUAAGCCCGUAGCAGCAACUCAAAAUAUAAGUCUCCUCUCGCCUGAUGAUGAAACAAAAGAUUUCAAAGAGUUUAACGCUUCGUUUUCAAAAUUCGAACAGCGCAAUAAAUCGCAUUUAUUUGAUUUGGAUAUGGAUAAAAAAUGGCAUACAAAAUCUUUUAUACAGGAAGAGUCCAGAGCGCCUGCUGUGCCAAAGGCUAUGCCACGCAAUCGUGAAAGGGAAGUAGAACUCAAACGCGCUGAAGAAGAGCAAGAAGCCGAGCGCGAACGUCAAGCGGAGGCUGAAGCUAAAGCUGCAGCAGCAAAAGCAGCAGCUGAUGCCGAAGCCAAGGUCGCAGCUGUUGCUGCUGCAGAGGCUGCGCGUAAGCGCCAAGCUGAACUAGAGGCGGCUUCUAUUGCUGCAGAGAUUGAACGAAACCGACGCGAAGCUGUUGAAAAAGAAGAACAAAGACGAGCUGCCGAAGAUGCACACCUCGAAGAAGAGCUACGCAGAAAUGAGCAAAAGUUACGAGAAGAAGAGGAAGCAUUGCAGGAAGAAUUGCGCCAGCGUGAAGAGGAGAAACGGCGAGAAGCGAAAAGACGUGAAGAAGAUCAACGCAUUUUGAACUUUGCCAAACGCUCUACAUCGCUGGAGGAAGAAAAAACCGCCUACGGCACGCCCGAACAAUCGCCCAGCGAGACCUCGUCUGAGAAACGUGAACGGCGUAUGGGCAAAUACAAGUAUCUCAAUAAGCGAGAGAAAAGUGAAGAUAAUCGGUCCACACCAAGUCCCAAAGCCACUGAACGCAUUAUAAUUGGCCAUGAAAAAUCCACAUCACACGCAGAACGACGCUCGGAAAUAUCAGCAGCGCUAGCCAAGAAAUAUGAUGGCAAAUCGCGAGAGGAACUUAUGCUAAUAGCAAAUGGUAUGGAAAAUGAAGCGUUACUGCAACGUCAACGUGUUAAGGAGCUGGAGGACUAUCUGGAUAAUUUGCUGCUGCGUGUAAUGGAAACGCAUCCAAAACUUUUACAGAAUCCCUACUCAAGAACCACAUCGGCGAAGAGUUUUAAAAACUACAUCAAUAUGAAUGACUUUUUGUAAAGAAACAGUUGCGCAGCGCGAUGAAUUUCCAACCGAUUGGCGGUUCGCAUGUCGUAGCCAGGACAACGGCUAAAUGUUUGUAAAAAACAUUUUAUUUAUUAGUAAAUUUCGUGCGCUGAAUGAAAGCAAUACGGUGAGCGGAAAUUUGAAGCGCCUUCCAACCAACCAACAACAACACAAACAUCCACAAAAUUAAGUAUGAUAAUAGUAGAUAAAACGAAGGAAAAUCACCAAGUUGCCUUAUAGUGAAAAAUCCAAAGUGCUUUUUUACGAUGAUAAUAACUAAUUAUAAAACAAUUAUGAGUGUAUGUAGAAAAAAAUAUGUUAUGAGUACGAGUUUAUUAUAAUUUUUUAAUCAAUGUAUGUUUUUUUUUUUGGUUAGAAAUGAUUUUGUUUCUACUAAUACAGUUAAAUUAUUGAAUGUAAUAUAUUUUUUAAAAUGGAUUAACAAACGUAAGAAAUAAUUUUAAAAUAUGAUUGUUGUGAAAACGUAUUUAAUACAGCGAUUUGCAAAGAAAAAACAUAAUACGCCCCUUCAUGGUUAAUGAUUCUGAAUUCUACAUCGAUGGUGGAAACUUAAAUUAAGUUAAUUUAUUAGUGAAAAAUUAAAAGUAAGUUUUAAGCGAAAAAUAUGUUAUGAAAAUCAAGCGAUUGUCGCCAAACGCCUUUAUGUGAAUGUAUAUGUAAGACUUUCUAUGACGGCGGCACCCGCUGUAAAUAUGCAAAAACAAGUAACUAAUCUUAACUAUUUACAACAUUUAACUAUUUACGUAAAAUGGAACUAAAAAGUAAUCAUGUUUAUUCAAAACAAACUGUAAAAUUUUGAACCAUUGCAUUUUUUUACAAAAAUUGACCAAACAAACAAACUGCGUUACAAAAUUGCCCAUUAAGGUACUUGACCACCUUGGAAAGCUAAAAAGUACAACAUAUUCAAUAAUUUUGUUUCAUGUUCUGUAUAAUAUAUUAAAAUAAAUUUUUUUUUAAAUUUUUAUUUAGAGCUUAUAUAAUACAAAAAAAAUUGAUUUAUUAAAAUUCCUUUUUUUAACAUAUAUCCAGGAGGCGCCAAAGUCGAGGCCUGAAGAAAAUCAUGUCUUGCGGCGGACAGUUAAUCUUAGAAAUGAUAAUUCUAAAACAAAAGAGAGAAACAAAAUUUUCAAAAGGAAGGUUCCUUGCGUGAGAAUUUACCACAAACUGACAAAAAAAAAUAAUAAUAAAAAAAUGGCGGAUGUUUGAAAAAAAGUUAAGAAAACACCCCUGUUUUUCACAAUGUUAUGCUUAAAAAGCAAUACUUUAUUAACUUUUUUUUUGCAAAAUGUGGUAAAUUGGCAUACAAAACAUCUUAACAAAUAAAACAAGACCAAAAUCAUUAAAAUCGGCUAAGCAGUUUCGGAGAUAAAGUGUCCGCCAUUCGAAAAAAAGUAAUUUCUGGAAAAACGCGUUUAAAGUUAAAACUUGCUAUUUUCUUUCCGCUGAGUCAGCAAGUAAUGAGUGCAGGAUGCGCCUGCACAUUUUCACUGAUUUCACUUUGUUAGAAUUCGAAUUUAAAAAAACAGUUUCAGGUGAUGAUUUUUAAAAGUAUAAGGAUUGAAAAAAUGUAAAAAAAAAAAUUUAAUUUUUUUAAACUUAUAAGGUGGUCAAGUACCUUAAUUGAGUGAAUUUGGUGAGACCAGAUAUGUAUUUUCAAUGAUUAUUGCUAGGAAUUAAGGUGUUUGUUGUCGCAUUUAUGAUUUGGUUGAAUUAUGAUUUUAUUUUUUAUAUUUUUUUAAUUGUAGUCCUUAGGUUUGGACAAUUGCUUUUUGCGAGUAAAACAUUACCACCAUCCUUGAAUAUGUUUAUCUCCGAGCUUUAUAUAUCUGUAUGAGCUGAAUUUAAAUGAUAUUGUACUUUAAGCUUAAUUAAAAAUAUCAUUAAAUAAAUAUUAUUAAACUAUUUGUACUAUAAAA